GAUGAACGCUGGCGGCGUGCCUAAUACAUGCAAGUCGAGCGAACAGACGGGGAGCUUGCUCCUCUGACGUUAGCGGCGGACGGGUGAGUAACACGUGGAUAACCUACCUAUAAGACUGGGAUAACUUCGGGAAACCGGAGCUAAUACCGGAUAAUAUAUUGAACCGCAUGGUUCAAUAGUGAAAGACGGUUUUGCUGUCACUUAUAGAUGGAUCCGCGCCGCAUUAGCUAGUUGGUAAGGUAACGGCUUACCAAGGCAACGAUGCGUAGCCGACCUGAGAGGGUGAUCGGCCACACUGGAACUGAGACACGGUCCAGACUCCUACGGGAGGCAGCAGUAGGGAAUCUUCCGCAAUGGGCGAAAGCCUGACGGAGCAACGCCGCGUGAGUGAUGAAGGUCUUCGGAUCGUAAAACUCUGUUAUUAGGGAAGAACAAAUGUGUAAGUAACUAUGCACGUCUUGACGGUAACUAAUCAGAAAGCCACGGCUAACUACGUG
Molecule: ribosomal RNA, 497 nt
Filed under: uncultured bacterium
Lineage: Bacteria
Description: partial 16S ribosomal RNA
Rfam family: Bacterial small subunit ribosomal RNA
Source: RNAcentral